This 273-nucleotide ribosomal RNA is filed under the name uncultured bacterium. RNAcentral's name for it is "partial 16S ribosomal RNA". It matches the Rfam family "Bacterial small subunit ribosomal RNA", at positions 524 to 796 of the family's 1533-position model. The record is from RNAcentral.
UACGAAGGGGGCUAGCGUUGCUCGGAAUCACUGGGCGUAAAGCGCACGUAGGCGGAUUGUUAAGUCAGGGGUGAAAUCCUGGAGCUCAACUCCAGAACUGCCUUUGAUACUGGCGAUCUUGAGUCCGGGAGAGGUGAGUGGAACUGCGAGUGUAGAGGUGAAAUUCGUAGAUAUUCGCAAGAACACCAGUGGCGAAGGCGGCUCACUGGCCCGGUACUGACGCUGAGGUGCGAAAGCGUGGGGAGCAAACAGGAUUAGAUACCCCGGUAGUCC